This 773-nucleotide ribosomal RNA is filed under the name uncultured Neocallimastigales. RNAcentral's name for it is "partial large subunit ribosomal RNA". It matches the Rfam family "Eukaryotic large subunit ribosomal RNA", at positions 19 to 645 of the family's 3401-position model. Lineage: Eukaryota; Fungi; Neocallimastigomycota; Neocallimastigomycetes; Neocallimastigales. The record is from RNAcentral.
CGAGCACGCGCGUGUGGCAUAUCAAUAAGCGGAGGAAAAGAAACUAACAAGGAUUCCCUUAGUAACGGCGAGUGAAGCGGGAAGAGCUCAAAUUUGAAAUCUUCAAGGUUCUACCUUGACGAAUUGUAGUUUAUAGAAGUGUUUUCUGUUAGUGGAGUGGCAAAAGUUCUUUGGAAUAGGACAUCAUAGAGGGUGAGAAUCCCGUAUUUGGUCAUUCCUCCUAGCGUUGUGAUACACUUUCAAAGAGUCGGAUUGUUUGGGAAUGCAGUCCAAAAUGGGUGGUAAAUUUCAUCUAAAGCUAAAUAUUGGCGAGAGACCGAUAGCGAACAAGUACCGUGAGGGAAAGAUGAAAAGAACUUUGAAAAGAGAGUUAAACAGUACGUGAAAUUGUCAAAAGGGAAGCGUUUGACACCAGUGUUGUUUUUCCGAAAAUCAAUUACGAGUGUUUUGUUUUUGAGGAGUUAUGACUUCAUCGGCUUGCUCCUUUCUUUACGAAACUUUCUUAAUGCACUUUUCGGUUAACAAGUCAACAUCAAUUUCUUUUGUUGUAAAAGGGUAUGAGGAAGGUGGCUUUCUUUUCGGAGAAAGUGUUUAUAGCCUUGUGCCUCUGCAAUCGGAGAGAUUGAGGUCUGCAGCGUAGAUCCUUCGGGGUUAGAUACGUUUGUGCUAAGUUAUAGCUUUUCAUAGACAACUUGUUGACUAUGAUCAGUCAUGUAGCUUACUCGCUUAUGCUAUUUUACCUACGCUUAGGAUGUUGAUGUGAUACUGCGAGC